AUAAAGACAGCGUAACUCCCCAAUGGACGCUGAUACACAGAGAGAGCCUCA
RNAcentral lists this small RNA (51 nucleotides) under Vibrio cholerae O1 biovar El Tor str. N16961. Lineage: Bacteria; Pseudomonadati; Pseudomonadota; Gammaproteobacteria; Vibrionales; Vibrionaceae. The record is from RNAcentral.